Non-coding RNA from Podarcis lilfordi (Lilford's wall lizard), 139 nucleotides. NCBI's taxonomy places the organism in Eukaryota, Metazoa, Chordata, Lepidosauria, Squamata, Lacertidae. The record is from the annotation of a GenBank genome assembly.
UUCACUUCUCGGCCUUUUGGCUAAGAUCAAGUGUAGUGUAGUUCAAGAGGACAGGAACAGCAGCAGUGAGAGGAGCACGUUUUUGAAAAAGGCAAAAUAGGCUCCCAUUUUGGUCCCUUUAACUAUAAAGGGCAAAUUC